UACGUAGGGUGCGAGCGUUAAUCGGAAUUACUGGGCGUAAAGCGUGCGCAGGCGGUUCGUGAUGUCUGGUGUGAGAGCCCCGGGCUUAACCUGGGAAUUGCAUUGGAAACUAGCGGGCUGGAGUGUGGCAGAGGGGGGUGGAAUUCCACGUGUAGCAGUGAAAUGCGUAGAGAUGUGGAGGAACACCGAUGGCGAAGGCAGCCCCCUGGGCUAACACUGACGCUCAUGCACGAAAGCGUGGGGAGCAAACAGG
RNAcentral lists this ribosomal RNA (253 nucleotides) under uncultured bacterium. Its description in RNAcentral is "partial 16S ribosomal RNA". It matches the Rfam family "Bacterial small subunit ribosomal RNA", at positions 524 to 776 of the family's 1533-position model. The record is from RNAcentral.